Molecule: ribosomal RNA, 343 nt
Filed under: uncultured bacterium
Lineage: Bacteria
Description: bacterial SSU rRNA
Rfam family: Bacterial small subunit ribosomal RNA
Source: RNAcentral
GGGAUAACGCAGCGAAAGUUGUGCUAAUACCGCAUACGAUCUAUGGAUGAAAGCGGGGGAUCGCAAGACCUCGCGCGAUUGGAGCGGCCGAUAUCAGAUUAGCUAGUUGGUGAGGUAAAGGCUCACCAAGGCGACGAUCUGUAGCUGGUCUGAGAGGACGACCAGCCACACUGGGACUGAGACACGGCCCAGACUCCUACGGGAGGCAGCAGUGGGGAAUUUUGGACAAUGGGCGCAAGCCUGAUCCUAGCAAUGCCGCGUGCAGGAUGAAGGCCUUCGGGUUGUAAACUGCUUUUGUACGGAGCGAAAAGGCUCUCUCUAAUACAGGGGGCUCAUGACGGUA